AAUCAACGCUGGCGGCGUGCCUCAGACAUGCAAGUCGAACGAUUAAAGCUCUCUUCGGAGAGUGCAUAGAGUGGCGCACGGGUGAGUAACACGUAAGUAAUCUGCCUUUGAGUGGGGAAUAACAGUCGGAAACGAUUGCUAAUACCGCAUAACGCAGCGGCACCGCAAGGUGACAGUUGUUAAAGGAGCAAUCCGCUUAAAGAGGAGCUUGCGGCAGAUUAGCUUGUUGGUAAGGUAACGGCUUACCAAGGCUACGAUCUGUAUCCGGUCUAAGAGGACGGUCGGACACACUGACACUGAAUAACGGGUCAGACUCCUACGGGAGGCAGCAGUCGGGAAUUUUGGGCAAUGGGGGAAACCCUGACCCAGCAACGCCGCGUGAAGGAUGAAGUAUUUCGGUAUGUAAACUU
RNAcentral lists this ribosomal RNA (410 nucleotides) under uncultured bacterium. Its description in RNAcentral is "bacterial SSU rRNA". It matches the Rfam family "Bacterial small subunit ribosomal RNA", at positions 32 to 432 of the family's 1533-position model. The record is from RNAcentral.